This 807-nucleotide long non-coding RNA is filed under the name Setaria viridis. RNAcentral describes it as "long non-coding RNA (SVIR_LNC008791)". Lineage: Eukaryota; Viridiplantae; Streptophyta; Magnoliopsida; Poales; Poaceae. The record is from RNAcentral.
UCAACACUCCAUUAGCCUCUACUUGCUAUAAACCCCAUGGCGGCACUAGUCACAGCAUGCUCCAAGAAGGCUCACGUCCUCAUCGCCAUCGCGCUGCUGGUGGCUCUCCUUGCCACGGUUGCAUCGGCGGGCAGGGGCGACGUCCCGAUGGCAGACGGCCAGUGCACUAGAGUUGGAGCCUGCUCGGAUAGCUUGUGCACGGAGCAGUACUGCAGCGUCCAUGACACCGGGUCGUGCAAGUUCGUCGGUCAAUACGUCUACUGCUGCUGUGGCCCAGUGCAUUCGACAUCCACUGAUGAUGUCCAUCCGCGGCCGCUUGGUCAUUGAUGAUCCGUCGUAUCUUUGUUUGAUGCAUGAUUAGACGUGAUAUGGUUAGAUGUUUUGCACUGGUGUAUGGGAUGUAUCGGAUCUGAUUAUUAGUACUCAAGAGUACAAUACGGCAGUAUCAAAAUAAUAAGCAUAAGUUGUUCUCCUUUCUCUAGAGUUUUAUUUAGUCUUUUCUUCGGUCAUUUUCUGAUUGAAGUACAAUUAAUGUCGUCCCUAUGUUUUAUUAAAUUCUAAUUUAAGCAAUUCUCUAUUAUUAGAGUUGUAAUUUGAACGGUUUUGAGGCUUUGUUUUUGGAUGGUAAAGCUAUGGGUGCGAAGGAGUGGGAUCUUUGGGGGCAUAUGCCCCACUUCUUUUGCAAAGCUCCACCUUUUUUUUUACUAUUUGCAUAAUGACAUAGGUGGCUAGUGUUUUUUAAAAAAGUAAUAGAACCCAAUGGCUACUAUUAUCCAUGAUGAUUAAAGUCCAUAAGAUAGAUCUCCG